Numida meleagris (helmeted guineafowl) is the source of this 3667-nucleotide long non-coding RNA. RefSeq lists it as uncharacterized. The transcript has 3 exons. The record is from RefSeq and is a predicted model, not a curated record. Lineage: Eukaryota; Metazoa; Chordata; Aves; Galliformes; Numididae.
UAUGGUGACUAAAGGUAUUUUAGAAUCAAGUGGCAGUAUUAAAAUAGUUGAAAUGCUGUACAUAGAAGGAAGAAAAAAAAAGUGCAUUUAAAAGGGUGCCUUCUCUUAAAACAACUUUUUCCAUGGAUUGCACACAGUCUUAUUACAGAGUAAAUGUUGUAACCAUUGGUAAGCCAAUAGCAAUGUUGGUAGGCCAAUAUUAAUGGCUUACUAUUUACAGGUGUAUAAAUGUACCUAUCACAGAAUCACAGAAUUGCAGGGGUUAGAAGGGACCUCAAGAGAUGUCAAGUCCAACCCCCCCCAUAUAUACAUAUAUAUUUACAUAUAUAUACAUAUACAUAUGUGUGCAUAUGCAGAAAUCACACACAGGAAAAUCAGUAACAGUGGUAGGAAAAGGCUUUGGCAGAACAACUGAUGUAAGGGUCAUUUUUUUGCACACCCAUCACUUUACAUCCAUGUGUUUUAUCAUCUCCUACACAACAUUCACAAAGUGGUGCUACAAUAACCAUAACCAUACUUCGGUCUCCUGAAAAAUGAGGUAACUGGAACACACUGUGACUGACAACAGCAUGGGUCUUUCACCCUUCAUCACUUUUCACAGAGUGACCAAAUGUACGUUCUUAUUCAGUAUUUUGUGUUUUAGAGUUUAAAGGAACAGCUCCAUUGCCAGCCAAUCCUGACCUCACCUCUGUAGGUGGACUGAACACUCUUGUGCCACUAUUUGCUGGGGAAUAUCCUUCAGCAUCACAUCCUUCCACCAGUUAUUGAUUAACAGACACUCCAGGACUACAAACCAGACUCGCUGAGUCCAGGGACACAGUCCUGCUAUAGGAGGAGGCAGCACAAAGCCAGGCAGGAAAGUUCUUCCAACCCAUGCUUUUGCUUUUGCAGCUCUUCUGAAAUCCAAAACCCCAGCUGCAUAAGGACACAGCAAGGUCCCUUGGAGCACGGUUACAAACCUUGCUUGCCAAAUGUUCACUGCAUUUCCACUGUGCUAAGGGUCAGAUAUGCCUGGGAAGCAUAGAAAACAGUUUUAUCUGGUCAGUGGGAAUUCUACCGGAGACAGCUAUGGUUUUGAUACAUGCUUAGAGUUGUUCUCCUCCUAUCAACCACACAGGCAUAAAAAUGAAUUAUUUAUUUUUUCCCAAGAAUAUAAAGACCUGCACUGUAUGCAAAUCUUUAAAGUGUUGGGGUUUUUUGUUUGUUUUUUUUUGUUUUGUUUUUAAAUAAGAAUUAGUAUGAGCUCCUUCUUUUCCCCUUACACCUUCCUUGGUGUACCUGUCUCAAGUUAUAGACAGUUGUCUUAGAAUCCCCUCUUAUCCCCCCAGAACUGUCUAGCCCACUCAGCACAGUGUUCAAUACACUGCCUGUUUGGAUUUGGCUUCCCAUGGUAUAGAGUGCAGAGGCACAGAAGUAUUUCACCACUGGGAAGUGCUUGUGAAUUUGAAAGAGCAAGAAGCCAGCAAUGUACUCGAUGUGAUCUCAUGGAAUCAUGGGAACCUGCAGUAACUGGGUAUGAAAUGUCAUUAUUAUGUUAAAUGAGUCUAUUAAUUCAGCUCAAGAUACUAUGUCCACUGCAUAAUAUUAAGCACUUAGUUCUGCUCACGCAGUCUUUCUUAAUGCUCUGGGAACACCAUGUGCCCUAUUGAGGAACGUGAAGGACUGCAAUAGAAAUUACUACUGAUCUUAACAUCAGACCCAUAUGUCUUAGGAGCCAGUUAGCCUAUACAAUUCAUUGAGGAUGUUUCCAUCUGUGAAUAGUUCCCAUUAUAGUUUAAUUGUGUCAAACUAAAUGUAUUUCUAAAAUAUUUUCGGAAGUUAAUAUUUAUAACAGACAUUAGGCCUAAUAUAGCCUAACUUCUGCUUUUCUCCUACCUGAAUGCGUUUCUCAAGCUGUUUUCUUUGUCACUGAGAGGCAGUCUGGUGAUUGUACCACGUGAGCAAUCAGUGAUUGACAACAACACUCUGAAUUUUGUCAGAGCAGGAUGCCUACGCAGACAGAAGUAGCCAAAGUGCUGCCACUGAAAACAAAUGCCAAGUCUCAGUGUCUGCAAAGAAAGAAAUCAAGUCUGGGUGGGAAAGGAUCUGAUGCGCAUCAGCCCUCCUUGCUUUAGGACAGACCAGAAGAAGAGUUGUUGAUGCUGAUGUAUAAUGCUUAUACCAAACCGAUGGGCCUCAUUAGCCAUGAGCACGCUCACACUGGAGAAGAACUGCAAUCACCUGAGCACAGAGGCUCUGAAAUGAAAACAGGUGACAAAAGCUUAGGUAAUUUGGAGAUAGCAUCCUACCAAUUAGGGAGCACAGUGAAGUUAAGUGGUUGGUGAGGACCCCAGGAAAGCCAAAAGGAAGCAAGCCUUUCCUUCACUGUUGGCUGUUGUUAUUGACUUAGCAUUAGUGAGCUGUUUGGUUAUUGUGCUAAUGGUAGAGAAAAAGAAUUGUGGAGACUAGCAAAAUAGGAGAGGAAGCCCUGCUUUCGUCGUGAGACCUCUUUUUUGGAUUGAUAGACUGGGUCUUCUUCAAGUGUUUCCCAAGGUCUUCAACAGGCAGGAGAGAUUGGAAGAAAAUGUACUGGAAACACAUGCUGAAUAGGACAGGAAUUUAAGACCAGCUAAUACAAAAAUCAGACAUCAGUUCAAGGAACAGAGGAGCAGAAUGGGACUAAUCCAGAUUCUGGCCUGACAUUUCCUCUGCCCCAUCAAAAGUUAAUGCACUGACCAACACAGGACCAAUGCCAAAAAAAUUCUGCCUACGAAGGAGAUCUCCAAAAACAUUCUUUAUCAGAUAAGAAAAUGCUUUGCAUUCUGCCCUUUUUUUUUUCUGUUUGUUUUUCUAAGGCUUCUUGGAGCCCUACACUCAGAAAAAUUUCCCCAAUGACAAUAUUUCAACAGGGGAAGAGUUUAGGAUUACAAAAUCUGGCCAAAGGUCAAUAGUAAAUACAACAGAAAAAAACACUGAGUAGGAAUUGCUUCCAUGGGAAGCACAAAAAACUACAAGAAAAGUGCCUAUAAAAGAUGCUAUGGUCACUUUGUCUGAAACUGAAUUCCAUUCCACGUUACCAGGAAACUACUGUCCGUUUGAGGAUCUGGCUGUAGUCUCCUGGAGGAGACUACUGCUCAAGAUACUAAGCAGAUGAAGAUGUCACAAUACAGGAACAAAACACUACCAAUUCUAGCAGAAGUUCCAGGAAAAGGAUUCCGUGUCAUGAAAAGGCAUCCAUGCCCUGCCAAAUUCCUGUGACAAUCUAUCAACUAUACCUCCUGUAUAUUGGACAGUGUGGGCAAAGAUGCUUCAGGACAAGCUAAGUGUACCUCGGAUAAGACUGAAUUCUGGAAUGAUCACGAGGGCCUUUCUUGACCAUGGUCAUCUUACACAAAGGGGCUUUUGGUCAGCAUACUCUGUGGCUGUUUUUUCACGGGUACAUGGGAGCUAGAUUGUUACCACCACAUUAUUUCACAUGACUGCUGGUCACAGCUAAUGGUAUCUGGUAGCAAAUUCAAAUCACUGAGCAAGACGUGAACAACAUAGAUCCUCUGCCUCAGAGCUUUCCUGUUUUUCUUCCUUCCUUCCUUCCAUGCCUUUGUUUGGAUUUUCUUUUAAAUGAGGCAAAAAGAAGGAAAAAAAGAAUCACUUAGAAAUGAUCUGCCUUUACAUUUCCUACUAACUCCAA